GAUGAACGCUGGCGGCGUGCUUAACACAUGCAAGUCGGACGGAAAGGCCCUGCUUUUGUGGUGUGCUUGAGUGGCGAACGGGUAAGUAACACGUACGUAACCUGCCCUUGACUAUGGGAUCACUUCAGGGAACUUAAGCUAAUACCGGCUAGGAGCUCCUGCUGCGUGUCGGGGGGUGGAGAGUUUCGGCUGUUGUGGAUGGACUCGCGGCUUAUCAGCUUGUUGGUGGGGUAGUGGCUUACCAAGGCUUUGACGGGUAGACGGCCUGAGAGGGUGACCGGCCACAUUGGGACUGAGAUACGGCCCAGACGACUACGGGAGGCAGCAGUGGUGAAUAUUGCACAAUGGGCGGAAGCCUGAUGCAGCAACGCCGCGUGCGGGAUGAAGGCCUUCGGGUUGUAAACCGCUUCCGCCUGUGACGAAGCGUGAGUGACGGUAAUGGGUAAAGAAGCACCGGCUAACUACGUG
RNAcentral lists this ribosomal RNA (468 nucleotides) under uncultured bacterium. Its description in RNAcentral is "partial 16S ribosomal RNA". It matches the Rfam family "Bacterial small subunit ribosomal RNA", at positions 28 to 507 of the family's 1533-position model. The record is from RNAcentral.